GGCAACGCGAGUGAGCGACAUCUGCCUCGAAGCAGAAAUCUUGAAUAUUGAACAAGCGAGAAAAGCCGUUGAACAAAUGACAGCCGUUGGGCACAAGGAACAUUCUGAACAACUGGCUCUGCAAAUGAACAGCAUGCGCCUGGAGUUUUCUUACAAAGCAAAGGCAGGACCGUCCACCAUGACAGAAGGGCUGGACACACUGAUUACCGUCAAGGCAGUCGGUGUAAAUAUUGAUGUGUCCCGGAAAUUGACUGCCCUCCUGAUCAAAGAGCUGGCCUGAGCCUUCGAGCUGCAGCAGGAGCUGGGUGACGUGCGUGGCGAGUGCCUGGCCCAAGGUCGGCUGGGGGCAGUGCACCUCUCCUUGGGUCAGCUGGGCCUGGCCCUGCGCUGCUACCAGGCCCAACUGGAGCGGGCGCGCCAGCUGCGUGACUGCCCGCUCGAGACGCAGGCCCUGGGCAACCUGGGCCUAGCCCGCCUCGGUCUGGCCCCCUAUGAGGACGCCAUCGGGUACUUCGAGUAACAGCUGGCACUCCUCCAACAGGGCAUUGAAUAAGAACGUGCAGGACUGUGAGAUUUUGGCCGCACUUACCACAAGUGGGAGGUUACCUCCCAGUCAAGAGGAUGGGCAAGACGCGAGGUGAUCCCCUUCACAGUUAGCGCAACUGGUCGUGGAAGUGCAAGUGUCGGUCGAGUGCUCGUUUCAUGCACAUCUUGCACAAGUAGUGCACCCUCGGCAGCUUUGCGAUCCGUGCCCGAACCGCUGACACUUGAAGCAUCGGCGUAGACCUUAUUACCGGCUUAUGCACAAAUAACCAAACUGAAAGAAGGUGCCGCUCUCGACGAGAAUUAAAAGUGCGCUUCAACCCAGACAAUCGGACUUGCGAAUACUACCUUACAUGCCGCCGUGGGGAAAGUUCCUUCAAUGAUAUCAACGACUGUUACGAACAAUGCAAAGAAUUCGUUAAAAACCCGUGUGUUCUGCCUAUCAAAGCAAUUACGCAAGAAGGACAUCUCUAUAGCGACAAAGCUCAAUUCCGUUACGGUUACGACCAAGGUACAGGUAAAUGCGUCAAGUUCCUUCGGUCAAUGUCUGAUGGAAACAAUAACAGCUUCACAUCACGCAAACAAUGUCUGGAAACCUGCGCACCGAAUUCAUCAUGCUUGCUGCGAACCGAGUACCAUCGCUGGAGGUUGUUUCCGUGGUACUUUUACGAUCCUGAUCACGACACCUGUAACAAAACAACCACUUUCUUCAGGAAAAUUCUAUAUUGGCCGCUACAGAACAGAUUUUUCACCCCAAGUAGUUGCCACGAAGAAUGCAUGCCCGAUCUUUCCGCAAUCCUUAAAUAAGCCCAGAGCUACAUAUAAUAAAGGCGUAUUUAGUCACUUGGAGACCUUUGUCAAAUUACUGAAGCUGUGAGAUAGAAAAGCACAAACAUGGUCAUGGAGAGUAAGUUAG
Dermacentor andersoni is the source of this 1459-nucleotide long non-coding RNA. RefSeq lists it as uncharacterized. Lineage: Eukaryota; Metazoa; Arthropoda; Arachnida; Ixodida; Ixodidae. The record is from RefSeq and is a predicted model, not a curated record.